This 125-nucleotide small RNA is filed under the name Arabidopsis thaliana (thale cress). RNAcentral's name for it is "ATSL292170". The record is from RNAcentral. Lineage: Eukaryota; Viridiplantae; Streptophyta; Magnoliopsida; Brassicales; Brassicaceae.
UAUUUAUUUUAUGAAAUCUAGGUGGCAAGCUCUCAUGUGCUGAUGUGUCAAAUUGUGGGAGAGAGUUAGCCUUCUUUCAUAUAUAUGAUUACUGCACAUAGUUGUUACCUAGUGAUAUUUUUUUU